CCUAGUAUGAAUCUCUCAUACUAUGAUGCGGUAGCUGAAGGCCACAUUUGAUUGCCUCAUGAAGACUUAUGGGUUCCUGGCACCAGACUGCAAAGAGUACAUGAAUAUACUGCAAAGAGUUAAAGAAGAGAGGGAACUAAAAUAAA
Molecule: long non-coding RNA, 146 nt
Organism: Asparagus officinalis (garden asparagus)
Lineage: Eukaryota; Viridiplantae; Streptophyta; Magnoliopsida; Asparagales; Asparagaceae
Exons: 2
Source: RefSeq, a predicted model, not a curated record